GCUAGCGAUAGGCCUAACACAUGCAAGUCGAGGGGCAUCACAUGAAGUAGCAAUACGGAUGGUGGCGACCGGCGCACGAGUGAGUAACACGUAUGCAACCUGCCUUCAACAAGGGGAUAACCCGUUGAAAGACGGACUAAUACCCUAUAACACAGGGGUCCCGCAUGGGAAUAUUUGUUAAAGGACAACCGGUUGAAGAUGGGCAUGCGUUCCAUUAGCUAGUUGGCGGGGUAACGGCCCACCAAGGCAACGAUGGAUAGGGGAACUGAGAGGUUUAUCCCCCACACUGGUACUGAGACACGGACCAGACUCCUACGGGAGGCAGCAGUGAGGAAUAUUGGUCAACGGACGCAAGUCUGAACCAGCCACGUCGCGUGAAGGAAGACGGCCCUACGGGUUGUAAACUUCUUUUAUACGGGAAUAAAGUGCCCCACGCGUGGGGUUUUGCAUGUACCGUAUGAAUAAGGAUCGGCUAACUCCGU
Molecule: ribosomal RNA, 482 nt
Filed under: uncultured bacterium
Lineage: Bacteria
Description: bacterial SSU rRNA
Rfam family: Bacterial small subunit ribosomal RNA
Source: RNAcentral